UGCCUUAGUAACGGCGAGUGAAGCGGCAAAAGCUCAAAUUUGAAAUCUGGUACCUUCGGUGCCCGAGUUGUAAUUUGGAGAGGGCAACUUUGGGGCCGUUCCUUGUCUAUGUUCCUUGGAACAGGACGUCAUAGAGGGUGAGAAUCCCGUGUGGCGAGGAGUGCGGUUCUUUGUAAAGUGCCUUCGAAGAGUCGAGUUGUUUGGGAAUGCAGCUCUAAGUGGGUGGUAAAUUCCAUCUAAAGCUAAAUAUUGGCGAGAGACCGAUAGCGAACAAGUACAGUGAUGGAAAGAUGAAAAGAACUUUGAAAAGAGAGUGAAAAAGUACGUGAAAUUGUUGAAAGGGAAGGGCAUUUGAUCAGACAUGGUGUUUUGUGCCCUCUGCUCCUUGUGGGUAGGGGAAUCUCGCAUUUCACUGGGCCAGCAUCAGUUU
RNAcentral lists this ribosomal RNA (430 nucleotides) under Saccharomyces cerevisiae (brewer's yeast). RNAcentral's name for it is "partial large subunit ribosomal RNA". It matches the Rfam family "Eukaryotic large subunit ribosomal RNA", at positions 76 to 503 of the family's 3401-position model. The record is from RNAcentral. Lineage: Eukaryota; Fungi; Ascomycota; Saccharomycetes; Saccharomycetales; Saccharomycetaceae.